This 486-nucleotide ribosomal RNA is filed under the name uncultured bacterium. RNAcentral describes it as "partial 16S ribosomal RNA". It matches the Rfam family "Bacterial small subunit ribosomal RNA", at positions 30 to 507 of the family's 1533-position model. The record is from RNAcentral.
AUUGAACGCUGGCGGCAUGCCUUACACAUGCAAGUCGAACGGCAGCACGGGUGCUUGCACCUGGUGGCGAGUGGCGAACGGGUGAGUAAUACAUCGGAACAUGUCCUGUAGUGGGGGAUAGCCCGGCGAAAGCCGGAUUAAUACCGCAUACGAUCUACGGAUGAAAGCGGGGGACCUUCGGGCCUCGCGCUAUAGGGUUGGCCGAUGGCUGAUUAGCUAGUUGGUGGGGUAAAGGCCUACCAAGGCGACGAUCAGUAGCUGGUCUGAGAGGACGACCAGCCACACUGGGACUGAGACACGGCCCAGACUCCUACGGGAGGCAGCAGUGGGGAAUUUUGGACAAUGGGCGAAAGCCUGAUCCAGCAAUGCCGCGUGUGUGAAGAAGGCCUUCGGGUUGUAAAGCACUUUUGUCCGGAAAGAAAUCCUUGGCCCUAAUACGGUCGGGGGAUGACGGUACCGGAAGAAUAAGCACCGGCUAACUACGUC